CUCAUCUGGAAAUUUUGGUUUUUUCUUCCCUCAGGUUGAAGGCGCGUUUAUUCAAGGCAUGGGACUCUAUACAAUAGAGGAACUGAAGUAUUCUCCUCAGGGUGUCCUGUACACCCGUGGUCCAAACCAAUAUAAAAUCCCGGCCAUCUGUGACGUCCCCACAGAGCUGCACAUUUCUUUUUUGCCUCCUUCUGAAAACGCAAAUACUCUGUAUUCGUCUAAGGGUCUGGGAGAGCCUGGGCUGUUCCUGGGGUGUUCGGUGUUUUUUGCCAUCCAUGACGCGGUGAACGCAGCGCGACAGGAGAGAGGCCUGCGUGGACCCUUGAAGCUCAAUAGUCCACUGACCCCAGAGAAGAUUAGAAUGGCCUGUGAAGAUAAGUUCACGGAAAUGAUUCCAAGAGAUGAACCUGGAUCCUAUGUUCCUUGGAAUAUACUCAUAUGAGUCAAAUAUAAACUUCUGAGCAAAAAGGGGUGACUUUUCCAACAAAGCAAUCUGUCCAGUCUCUGCGCUCUAAGAUGCUAGAUCUAAAAGACGAACUUCACAGUUAAAAAUCAUUUCACAGAAUAUUGUUUUUAUAUGAUGCUGAUUUUAAAUGUUUCAUUUAGAUUUUGAUAUAUAUGCUUAAGCAAUUUAUAAAUCAUAUUUUAAAUGGCAUAAAUACUAACUAGUUUCCUCUGGAGUGAUAUUCUCCAUUACUCUGUGCCUUAAAUCCAUCCAGCUGAAUGGAAUAGAAGAGGAUGGCUUGUGUGAUGUAUACUUGGCUUGUAUCCACCAACAGAAAUUAUACCGUCUGCUGAAAGGCAAUUUUUUUUUCUCAAUACUUGUAUUAGUAGUAUGAACUGUAAACUUGUCAUUUUCUCAUUUGUCCCCAUCUGCCAUCACCCUCCUUUUCUUGUCAGAAUGGAUCCUGGCACUGGAUCUAAAGAGUCCGUGAGACCAAAAA
Non-coding RNA from Ceratotherium simum simum (southern white rhinoceros), 944 nucleotides. The record is from RefSeq and is a predicted model, not a curated record. Lineage: Eukaryota; Metazoa; Chordata; Mammalia; Perissodactyla; Rhinocerotidae.